GCCCUUAUAGCUCAGCUGGUACGAGCGUGCGACUGAAGCACAGUUCAGUUUAUGGCCUUCGGCUCCUCGAGUCGGAACAAAUCGCAAGGUCACCUGUUCGACCCAGGUUGAGGGCA
This 116-nucleotide transfer RNA is filed under the name Pseudozyma flocculosa. RNAcentral describes it as "Anthracocystis flocculosa transfer RNA-Phe(GAA)". The record is from RNAcentral. Lineage: Eukaryota; Fungi; Basidiomycota; Ustilaginomycetes; Ustilaginales; Ustilaginaceae.